UACGUAGGGGGCAAGCGUUAUCCGGAUUUGCUGGGUGUAAAGGGAGCGUAGACGGCAAUGCAAGUCUGGAGUGAAAGGCGGGGGCCCAACCCCCGGACUGCUCUGGAAACUGUAUAGCUGGAGUGCAGGAGAGGUAAGUGGAAUUCCUAGUGUAGCGGUGAAAUGCGUAGAUAUUAGGAGGAACACCAGUGGCGAAGGCGGCUUACUGGACUGUAACUGACGUUGAGGCUCGAAAGCGUGGGGAGCAAACAGG
This 253-nucleotide ribosomal RNA is filed under the name uncultured bacterium. RNAcentral's name for it is "partial 16S ribosomal RNA". It matches the Rfam family "Bacterial small subunit ribosomal RNA", at positions 524 to 776 of the family's 1533-position model. The record is from RNAcentral.